RNAcentral lists this ribosomal RNA (489 nucleotides) under Causus defilippii (snouted night adder). RNAcentral's name for it is "partial 16S large subunit ribosomal RNA". It matches the Rfam family "Bacterial large subunit ribosomal RNA", at positions 1895 to 2609 of the family's 2925-position model. Lineage: Eukaryota; Metazoa; Chordata; Lepidosauria; Squamata; Viperidae. The record is from RNAcentral.
AUAUUAAAGGCAACGCUGCCCAGUGAAUAAUUAAACGGCCGCGGUAUCCUAACCGUGCAAAGGUAGCAUAAUCAUUUGUCUAUUAAUUGUAGACUCGCAUGAAAGGCCUCAUGAUAGCCCAUCUGUCUCUUAUAACAAAUCAAUUAAACUGAUCUCCCAGUACAAAAGCUGGAAUCCCCUAUAAGACCAGAAGACCCUGUGAAGCUUUAACUAAACUAUUAAACUUAAUAACUAAUUUCGGUUGGGGCGACCUUGGAACAAAAAAGAACUUCCAAAUACGUGACAUAGUCUCACAACGGCUGACAAGCCCAUAGACCCAGUAUACAGAUUUAUGAACUAAGUUACUCCAGGGAUAACAGCUCUAUCAACUUUAAGAGCCCAUAUCAAAAAGAGGGUUUACGACCUCGAUGUUGGAUCAGGACAUCCUAGUAAUGCAACCGUUUCUAAGGGUUCGUUUGUUCAACGAUUAAUAGUCCUACUUGAUCUGAG